RNAcentral lists this ribosomal RNA (253 nucleotides) under uncultured bacterium. RNAcentral describes it as "partial 16S ribosomal RNA". It matches the Rfam family "Bacterial small subunit ribosomal RNA", at positions 524 to 776 of the family's 1533-position model. The record is from RNAcentral.
GACGAACCGAGCGAACGUUGUUCGGAAUCACUGGGCUUAAAGGGCGCGUAGGCGGGCUGUCAAGUCUGGGGUGAAAUCCCACGGCUCAACCGUGGAACUGCCUUAGAUACUGACGGCCUCGAGGGAGAUAGGGACGAGCGGAACUGUGAGUGGAGCGGUGAAAUGCGUUGAUAUUCACAGGAACUCCGGUGGCGAAGGCGGCUCGCUGGAUCUUUUCUGACGCUGAGGCGCGAAAGCUAGGGGAGCAAACGGG